GAUGAACGCUGGCGGCGUGCCUAAUACAUGCAAGUCGAGCGAAUGGAUUAAGAGCUUGCUCUUAUGAAGUUAGCGGCGGACGGGUGAGUAACACGUGGGUAACCUGCCCAUAAGACUGGGAUAACUCCGGGAAACCGGGGCUAAUACCGGAUAACAUUUUGAACCGCAUGGUUCGAAAUUGAAAGGCGGCUUCGGCUGUCACUUAUGGAUGGACCCGCGGCGCAUUAGCUAGUUGGUGAGGUAACGGCUCACCAAGGCAACGAUGCGUAGCCGGCCGGAGAGGGUGAUCGGCCACACUGGGACUGAGACACGGCCCAGACUCCUACGGGAGGCAGCAGUAGGGAAUCUUCCGCAAUGGACGAAAGUCUGACGGAGCAACGCCGCGUGAGUGAGGAAGGCUUUCGGGUCGUAAAACUCUGUUGUUAGGGAAGAACAAGUGCUAGUUGAAUAAGCUGGCACCUUGACGGUACCUAACCAGAAAGCCACGGCUAACUACGUGCCAGCCGCCGCCGUAA
Molecule: ribosomal RNA, 515 nt
Filed under: uncultured bacterium
Lineage: Bacteria
Description: partial 16S ribosomal RNA
Rfam family: Bacterial small subunit ribosomal RNA
Source: RNAcentral